AUGUGGUGCUGAAAAUCAAACCCAGUGCCUCACACAUGCUAGGCAAGUGCUCUACCACUGAGCUACAGCUCCAGCCCCCUUCCCUUCGUAUUUCUAUAGAGGGCCAUGUAAAGCUUUAGAUUCUGUUUAGACUCCAGGUUUUAAGAGUUCAACACAGAAAGAAUUUCAGGUCAUUUGUUUCCCUCCAGAAUGAAAUUCUAAUCUUGAGGGAGGUGGGAAGGACAGGCGAAUGCAUUAUUGCAAACCUUCUCCAGUGAUUCUGAGGUAUAGCUCUGGUUAAGAGCCCCUGCCCAACACCCUGAGAUAUUUGAGUGUAAGGACCAUGCCCUUCAACUUUGUAUUUAUUAAAUACAACCAAUGCCUGAUAUACAGUCAGUGCUCAGUAAAGGGUCAAGUGAACCAGUGGAAACAAGAGCUGAAGAAUGAUAGGGUCCAAAGAAAUGGAUGGAGGAUAGCUUAGGAAUAAGUAUGGUCCCUUCAUUUUUUUCAGUUGCCUUAGUGUUGAAAUGGAAGGAGGCUCCCAGAUAUUCAUGGGAUGUCACUUUUGGCAACAAUGGACCAUCAGUUAUCUGGGUUUUCUAGGUGUUUUGUAGCAAGGAGGGAUUUCAGACUAUGUAGUCUGCAAUAUUUCCAGAAAUAGAAAUCAUUCUUUUUUCCUCUAAUGACCCACACAACACCUGGGAAUUGCCAUAAAAUUCCCAGAAGAGGAGUAUGGUGAAGGAAAACCACUUUCCCUAGGUAUACUUUGUAUGGAACUGCCAGUGAAGCAGUAUAGAUAUGGGCAGAAGACACCACUCUCCUGGUGUCUCCUGAGAUCUGUGCUCUGACUGGUUUCCAUCUGUCGUCUUCUGCCAGUUUUGUUGGGACUCACCUUCCAUUUUCUCUCCACACAGGCUUGUUGAAAAUGUAGGAGCCAAUGUUUCCAACCGUCCCUGCUCCAAACUCUGAUGCAUACGCACCUGUGUACAGAAAGGAAGGUUGGAUUCCAUUAAUCAAGCUAAGACUUUAUACUGCAUUACUGCCUGGCACAAAAAAAGAUAGUGCACUCUGUAGUUUGCAAACUCGACUCAGGAAAUCGGGGAAGAGUAAAAUCCACAUGGGAAAGAUUUCCAUUGACUUCUCAUCCAAGAUGGUACAGUUAAUUCAUGCUAUGAAACACUUGGCAGUGAUAUACUGA
Molecule: long non-coding RNA, 1177 nt
Filed under: Ictidomys tridecemlineatus (thirteen-lined ground squirrel)
Lineage: Eukaryota; Metazoa; Chordata; Mammalia; Rodentia; Sciuridae
Description: lncRNA (ENSSTOG00000033399.1)
Source: RNAcentral